GUGAAAUGUUGGGUUAAGUCCCGCAACGAGCGCAACCCUUAUCCUUUGUUGCCAGCGGUCCGGCCGGGAACUCAAAGGAGACUGCCAGUGAUAAACUGGAGGAAGGUGGGGAUGACGUCAAGUCAUCAUGGCCCUUACGACCAGGGCUACACACGUGCUACAAUGGCGCAUACAAAGAGAAGCGACCUCGCGAGAGCAAGCGGACCUCAUAAAGUGCGUCGUAGUCCGGAUUGGAGUCUGCAACUCGACUCCAUGAAGUCGGAAUCGCUAGUAAUCGUGGAUCAGAAUGCCACGGUGAAUACGUUCCCGGGCCUUGUACACACCGCCCGUCACACCAUGGGAGUGGGUUGCAAAAGAAGUAGGUAGCUUAACCUUCGGGAGGGCGCUUACCACUUUGUGAUUCAUGACUGGGGUGAAGUCGUAACAAGGUAACCGUAGGGGAACCUGCGGUUGGAUCACCUCCUUACCUUAAAGAAGC
This 478-nucleotide ribosomal RNA is filed under the name Escherichia coli. RNAcentral's name for it is "bacterial SSU rRNA". It matches the Rfam family "Bacterial small subunit ribosomal RNA", at positions 1067 to 1533 of the family's 1533-position model. Lineage: Bacteria; Pseudomonadati; Pseudomonadota; Gammaproteobacteria; Enterobacterales; Enterobacteriaceae. The record is from RNAcentral.